This 443-nucleotide ribosomal RNA is filed under the name uncultured bacterium. RNAcentral's name for it is "partial 16S ribosomal RNA". It matches the Rfam family "Bacterial small subunit ribosomal RNA", at positions 338 to 795 of the family's 1533-position model. The record is from RNAcentral.
CCUACGGGGGGCAGCAGUGGGGAAUAUUGGGCAAUGGGCGCAAGCCUGACCCAGCAACGCCGCGUGAAGGAAGAAGGCUUUCGGCUUGUAAACCUCUUUUGUCAGGGACGAAGCAAGUGUCGGUACCUGACGAGUAAGCCACGGCUAACUACGUGCCAGCAGCCGCGGUACUACGUAGGGGGCAAGCGUUAUCCGGAUUGAUUGGGUGUAAAGGGCGUGUAGGCGGGAAUGCAAGUCAGAUGUGAAAACUAUGGGCUGAACCCAUAGCCUGCAUUUGAAACUGUAUGUCUUGAGUGCUGGAGAGGCAAUCGGAAUUCCGUGUGUAGCGGUGAAAUGCGUAGAUAUAAGGAGGAACACCAGUGGCGAAGGCGGAUUGCUGGACAGUAACUGACGCUGAGGCGCGAAAGCGUGGGGAGCAAACAGGAUUAGAUACCCGGGUAGUC